This 242-nucleotide long non-coding RNA is filed under the name Lathyrus oleraceus (garden pea). Its description in RNAcentral is "Pisum sativum (pea) long non-coding RNA (PSAT_LNC023156)". Lineage: Eukaryota; Viridiplantae; Streptophyta; Magnoliopsida; Fabales; Fabaceae. The record is from RNAcentral.
UUUUCUCUUUUUGCUUUUCCUAUGUUAUUAUUAUAGGUUUUUUUAUAAUGAGUUAUGUUAUUACUUGAUGGAAAUGGUAUUGCAAACUCUAUUGUAAAUUUGAAUUAGAUGCUUCGGGAGUGAAAGUUUGUAAUUUAAAUUUGACUUAGCAAUUGCACCGGAAAUAGCUUAACGCAUCUGUUAAGUUUGUAAUUCAAUUUAAUGUGAACCAUCAAAACAUACCUACUGUAACCAUAUUUUAU